RNAcentral lists this ribosomal RNA (119 nucleotides) under Pteropus alecto (black flying fox). The record is from RNAcentral. Lineage: Eukaryota; Metazoa; Chordata; Mammalia; Chiroptera; Pteropodidae.
GUCUAUGGCCAUGUCACCCUGAACAAGCCCGAUCUCAUCUGAUUUUGGAAGCUAAGCAGAUUCGGGCCUGGUUAGUAUUUGAAUGGGAGACCACCUAGGAAGAUCAGGUGCUAUAGGUG